Molecule: long non-coding RNA, 487 nt
Filed under: Triticum aestivum (bread wheat)
Lineage: Eukaryota; Viridiplantae; Streptophyta; Magnoliopsida; Poales; Poaceae
Description: long non-coding RNA (TAES_LNC000428)
Source: RNAcentral
CUCCUCCAAACUCAAGAAGACGACUCGCCGGCGGUGCUUCCGGUGCCUCGCGACGAACCACGUCGUCUUCGACUGUAGGGACCCCGUUCGUUGCGCCCGCUGCUGCUGCUCCGGUCAAGGUAGCUUCAGGUGCAAAGCCCUUCACCUCCUUCCCUGUUUUCCAAAGAUGCCGCCCUCCCCUACCCGUCGUUCUAACCUGCUUUCUGUCCUGCCAGCUCCAUGGACGCGCUGCCCGACCACGCCGUCGCCGACGUCGAUCCUGCCAACCAGCCCCCCAUCGCUACGGCGCCGACAACGCUCCGCUUCGGCUCCUUCUAGGUGGAGGUCCACAACGUGUUGUGGAACGUAGUAAUUUCAAAAAAAAUUCUACGCACACGCAAGAUCAUGAUGAUACAUAGCAACGAGAGGGGAGAGUGUAGUCUAUGUACUCUCGUAGACCGUAAGUGGAAGCGUUAUGACAACGCGGUGAUAUAGUCGUACGUCUUCA